AGUGAACGCUGGCGGUAGGCCUAACACAUGCAAGUCGAACGGCAGCACAGUAAGAGCUUGCUCUUACGGGUGGCGAGUGGCGGACGGGUGAGGAAUACAUCGGACUCUACUUUUUCGGGGGGGAUAACGUAGGGAAACUUACGCUAAUACCGCAUAUGACCUUCGGGUGAAAGCAGUGGAACUUCUGACCUUGCGCGAUUGAAUGAGCCGAUGUCGGGUUAGCUAGUUGGCGGGGUAAAGGCCCACCAAGUCGACGAUCCGUAGCUGGUCUGAGAGGAUGAUCGGCCACACUGGAACUGAACCACGGUCCAGACUCCUACGGGAGGCAGCAGUGGGGAAUAUUGGACAAUGGGCGCAAGCCUGAUCCAACCAUACCGCGUGUGUGAAGAAGGCCUUCGGGUUGUAAAGCCCUUUUGUUGGGAAAGAAAAGCAGCAGGUUAAUACCACGCUGUUCUGACGGUACCCAAAAAAUAAGCACCGGCUAACUUCGUG
RNAcentral lists this ribosomal RNA (492 nucleotides) under uncultured bacterium. RNAcentral describes it as "partial 16S ribosomal RNA". It matches the Rfam family "Bacterial small subunit ribosomal RNA", at positions 29 to 507 of the family's 1533-position model. The record is from RNAcentral.